This 562-nucleotide long non-coding RNA is filed under the name Phoenix dactylifera (date palm). RNAcentral's name for it is "long non-coding RNA (PDAC_LNC019679)". The record is from RNAcentral. Lineage: Eukaryota; Viridiplantae; Streptophyta; Magnoliopsida; Arecales; Arecaceae.
AGAAAGAGAGCGAGAGGAGAGAGAAGCUCUGAAGGUGAAAGCCCAAGAAGGAGUUCUUGAGUUAUGAAGGUCCAUCUUUUUCCUUCUUCUCCCUUUCAGCCAACUUUCUGCCUCCCUGCGAGCUAGCACUCCCCGAAAAGCUGAUCAUUCCGGAGCUUCGCGUGGACGAGUCAUCGAGGCCGGACGCUUGUGCGGCUGCGAAGCAUCCUUGAAGGAACCUCCUUCUAAAGGUAAGAGAUCUUAUCUCUUUUACGGUUGAGAUAUUAUCUCAAUCUUCAAAUCACAAGAAGUUAUGAUUUAUGCAUAUUUAUUUGAAUCACACAAUCCUCGGGAUCUGAGGGCUUUGUGAUAUUUGGUGUCAAAGCAAAGAAUUAGUGGAGACUAUCCGAUUCCCGAAAACUCUCACGCGUGAUCGUGUGACGAAGCAUGGCUCUCCACCCGGGGGAUCAUAUGAUGAGUGCUUUGAUAGGCACGCGCGGGUGUCACCCUAUGUAUUGGAACUGAGCCCGCGUAACAUGUGAUGUGCAGUUGAAGACUGUCUUCGACUGGUACCAGAGUCAAA